GACGAACGCUGGCGGCGUGCCUAAUACAUGCAAGUCGAGCGGACGGAUGGGAGCUUGCUCCCAGACCGUCAGCGGCGGACGGGUGAGUAACACGUGGGCAACCUGCCUGUAAGACUGGGAUAACUCCGGGAAACCGGGGCUAAUACCGGAUAACUCUUUCCCUCACAUGAGGGAAAGCUGAAAGAUGGCAUCUCGCUAUCACUUACAGGUAGGCCCGCGGCGCAUUAGCUAGUUGGUGAGGUAAAGGCUCACCAAGGCGACGAUGCGUAGCCGACCUGAGAGGGUGAUCGGCCACACUGGGACUGAGACACGGCCCAGACUCCUACGGGAGGCAGCAGUAGGGAAUCUUCCGCAAUGGACGAAAGUCUGACGGAGCAACGCCGCGUGAGUGAUGAAGGUUUUCGGAUCGUAAAACUCUGUUGUCAGGGAAGAACAAGUACCGGAGUAACUGCCGGUACCUUGACGGUACCUGACCAGAAAGCCACGGCUAACUACGUG
Molecule: ribosomal RNA, 498 nt
Filed under: uncultured bacterium
Lineage: Bacteria
Description: partial 16S ribosomal RNA
Rfam family: Bacterial small subunit ribosomal RNA
Source: RNAcentral